GUUUGAUACGCUGAAGAAAUGCUUGGCUGAAUCUCAACGUGUUCUUAAAGCAUUGGGGAUGGAUUAUUUAGAGAGGGCUGCUGAUUAUGAUGCUUUAAAAUGCUUCAGAAAAGCUUAGGGCCUUAAAUCUGCUAUGCAUUCAUGUUCUUGGAACGAAAAAGCUAAGAAAUUGGAUAGAAGACCAAAACAAACAAUUUGAGCAGAAGACAAAGGAAGCUAAAUCAAAGGUUUUUGAUGCUACAGGCAAGACUUCGCAGCUGAAAAUUAAAGGUGACAUUGCCAAAGCAAUUGAUGCUAGGGAUGGGGA
This is a long non-coding RNA of Salvia miltiorrhiza (redroot sage), 307 nucleotides long. RefSeq lists it as uncharacterized. Lineage: Eukaryota; Viridiplantae; Streptophyta; Magnoliopsida; Lamiales; Lamiaceae. The transcript is spliced from 3 exons. The record is from RefSeq and is a predicted model, not a curated record.